GCUCUGUUCGUCUAUCGGUUAGGACACCAGGUUUUCAACCUGGGAAGAGGAGUUCAAUUCUCCUACAGAGUA
RNAcentral lists this transfer RNA (72 nucleotides) under Escherichia phage EcS1. It matches the Rfam family "tRNA". From Rfam's summary of the family: Transfer RNA (tRNA) molecules are approximately 80 nucleotides in length. Their secondary structure includes four short double-helical elements and three loops (D, anti-codon, and T loops). The record is from Rfam by way of RNAcentral. Lineage: Duplodnaviria; Heunggongvirae; Uroviricota; Caudoviricetes; Pantevenvirales; Straboviridae. RNAcentral also lists the same sequence under 1 other name.